This 353-nucleotide ribosomal RNA is filed under the name uncultured bacterium. RNAcentral's name for it is "bacterial SSU rRNA". It matches the Rfam family "Bacterial small subunit ribosomal RNA", at positions 445 to 793 of the family's 1533-position model. The record is from RNAcentral.
CGGGUACGUUAAUAGCGUAUUCGUUUGACGUUAGCGACAGAAGAAAGCACCGGCUAACUCCGUGCCAGCAGCCGCGGUAAUACGGAGGGUGCGAGCGUUAAUCGGAAUUACUGGGCGUAAAGCGCAUGCAGGUGGUUUGUUAAGUCAGAUGUGAAAGACCCGGGGCGUCAACCUCGGAAUAGCAUUUGAAACUGGCAGACUAGAGUACUGUAGAGGGGGGUAGGAAUUUCAGGUGUAGCGGUGAAAUGCGUAGAGAUCUGAAGGAAUACCGGUGGCGAAGGCGGCCCCCUGGACAGAUACUGACACUCAGAUGCGAAAGCGUGGGGAGCAAACAGGAUUAGAUACCCUGGUAG